UUGAUCCUGGCUCAGGACGAACGCUGGCGGCGUGCCUAAUACAUGCAAGUAGAACGCUGAAGACUUUAUCUUGCUAAAGUUGGAAGAGUUGCGAACGGGUGAGUAACACGUGGGGAACCUGCCCCUAAGUCUGGGAUACCAUUUGGAAACAGGUGCUAAUACCGGAUAAUAAAGCAGAUCGCAUGAUCAGCUUUUGAAAGACGGCGUAAGCUGUCGCUAAGGGAUGGCCCCGCGGUGCAUUAGCUAGUUGGUAAGGUAACGGCUUACCAAGGCGAUGAUGCAUAGCCGAGUUGAGAGACUGAUCGGCCACAAUGGGACUGAGACACGGCCCAUACUCCUACGGGAGGCAGCAGUAGGGAAUCUUCCACAAUGGGCGCAAGCCUGAUGGAGCAACACCGCGUGAGUGAAGAAGGGUUUCGGCUCGUAAAGCUCUGUUGUUAAAGAAGAACAUGCGUGAGAGUAACUGUUCACGCAUUGACGGUAUUUAACCAGAAAGUCACGGCUAACUACGUGCCAGCAGCCGCGGUAAUACGUAGGUGGCAAGCGUUAUCCGGAUUUAUUGGGCGUAAAGAGAGUGCAGGCGGUUUACUAAGUCUGAUGUGAAAGCCUUCGGCUUAACCGGAGAAGGGCAUCGGAAACUGGCUAACUUGAGUGCAGAAGAGGGUAGUGGAACUCCAUGUGUAGCGGUGGAAUGCGUAGAUAUAUGGAAGAACACCAGUGGCGAAGGCGGCUACCUGGUCUGUAACUGACGCUGAGACUCGAAAGCAUGGGUAGCGAACAGGAUUAGAUACCCUGGUAGUCCAUGCCGUAAACGAUGAGUGGUAAGUGUGGGGAGGUUUCUGCCUCUCAGUGUUGCAGUAAAAGCAAUAAGCAAUACGCUUGGGGAGUACGACCGCAAGGUGGAACUCAAAGGAAUAGACGGGGGCCCGCACAAACGGUGGAGCAUGUGGUUUAAUUUGAAGCAACGCGAAGAACCUUUCCCGGUCUUGACAUCCCGAUGCCAUUCCUAGAGAUAGGAAGUUUCUUCUGAACAUCGGAGACAGGUGGUGCAUGGUUGUUGUCAGCUCGUGUCGUGAGAUGUUGGGUUAAGUCCCGCAACGAGCGCAACCCCUAUUGUUAGUUGCCAUCAUUAAGUUGGGCACUCUAGCGAGAGUGCCGGUAAUAAACCGGAGGAAGGUGGGGGGGAGGUCAAAUCAUCAUGCCCCUUAUGAGGUGGGGGACACACGUGCUACAAUGGUUGGUACAACGAGUGGCGAGUCGGUGACGGCAAGCAAAUCUCUUAAAGCCAAUCUCAGUUCGGAUUGUAGGGUGCAACUCGCCUCCAUGAAGUCGGAAACGCUAGUAAUUGCGGA
This 1352-nucleotide ribosomal RNA is filed under the name uncultured bacterium. Its description in RNAcentral is "partial 16S ribosomal RNA". It matches the Rfam family "Bacterial small subunit ribosomal RNA", at positions 13 to 1348 of the family's 1533-position model. The record is from RNAcentral.